AAGUCGUAACAAGGUUUCCGUAGGUGAACCUGCGGAAGGAUCAUUAACACUUUUUAAAGAAAGAGAGGAAUUGGUUGUGAUGAUUUCAUUGUCACACGUUUCCCUCUUCAAUCCAACUUACCCAAAUUGAAGUGCUGGUGGAAAGUUCGAAUUUCCGAGCUUUCCCACACGUUUUUUUUCAACAACGAAACCCCAAACACUUAUGCUAAUGAGAUGACAAACAAAAAAAACAAAAAUAACUACUAAUGUAACCAAACAACUUUUAGCAACGGAUAUCUUGGCUCUC
Molecule: unclassified non-coding RNA, 286 nt
Filed under: fungal sp.
Lineage: Eukaryota; Fungi
Description: partial internal transcribed spacer region
Rfam family: Eukaryotic small subunit ribosomal RNA (bases 1-46)
Source: RNAcentral